RNAcentral lists this unclassified non-coding RNA (247 nucleotides) under uncultured fungus. RNAcentral describes it as "partial contains 5.8S ribosomal RNA, internal transcribed spacer 2, and large subunit ribosomal RNA". Lineage: Eukaryota; Fungi. The record is from RNAcentral.
AACGCACAUUGCACCCGCCAGUACUCUGGCGGGUAUGCCUGUUCGAGCGUCAUCUCAAACCUCAAGCUUUUGCUUGCUGUUGGAGCGCUCCGGUUCGCCGGAGGCCCCGAAUCCUAGUGGCGGAGCGCUGUUGGGCUCUGAGCGUAGUACUGUUUCUCGCUGCUGAGCUCCGGCGUCGCCUGCCGUAAAAAUCACCCAAAACACAAGGUUUGACCUCGGAUCAGGUAGGGAUACCCGCUGAACUUAA